This 654-nucleotide ribosomal RNA is filed under the name Triticum aestivum (bread wheat). Its description in RNAcentral is "partial small subunit ribosomal RNA". The record is from RNAcentral. Lineage: Eukaryota; Viridiplantae; Streptophyta; Magnoliopsida; Poales; Poaceae.
GGGAAUCAAAACUGGAGAAAAGGAGUUGCUCGGGUAGCUUGGGAUGACAUGACCCAACCCAAAUAUAUGGGGGGCAUGGGCUUCAGAAAGAUGGAGCAAUUUAAUCUUUUGGCCAAUAGGCCAAGAGGGCGGCUCGUUCAACAUCCCAACUCAUUAAGUGCACAAAUAUUGAAGGCAAUUUAUUAUCCAAAUGGAGAUUUCCUUUCAGCUCAAUUGGGAUCUAAACCGUCACAGAUCUGGAUGUCUAUUCAUGAAGGGAGAGAUGUUCUGAAGCAAGGACAUAUAAGGAGAAUUGGUGGUGGAAGAACUACUCACAUAUGGAACAAUCAGUGGCUGCCUAGGGAAACUACAGUGAGACUGGUUGCACCUCGGCAACAAAACAAACUGGAGAUGGAUUUUGAAUUAACUGAGCACACAAAUAGAACGUGGAACCAUGACCUAUUGAACUUGCAUCUUUUGCCCAUGGACGUUGAUGUGGUAUGGUGUGUUCCGCUGCCAUCAACGAACAUGGAUGAUUUUUGGGUCUGGAGCCGGGAAAGAUCGGGUGAAUUCACUGCACGGUCUGCCUAUCGGUUGCUCGUCCAUACCCAAAACAGAGGAGAUGCCUGGUUGGAAGGGAAGGCAGGUAUGUAUAAUUCAAAAAUUGAAGAGUAA